AUUCACAGGCUGAUAGUCUAGGAGAAAAAAAUGAAAGAGUAAAGAAUCAGACCAUUUGUAAGUGCCUAGAAAGAUGUUUACUUAAGAACAGCAAAACCAGGAUGAGCGUAUUUACAAGGUGAGACAUAAAAGCUUAGGUAUAUUCUAUCUUGACAUUUUUGAGGCAGAAACUCCAAAUGCCAUCCAGUCCUAACCACAGAAGACAAUCGUCAUGGGAAUUUUGAAAAGACAAGUUGAGCAAUAUGUUGGAACAAAUGAUGGUUUUCGGCCUCCCACAACACCAAAUCAUGGAAAGAUUUCAGAAGUUGUCUGUAUAAAUAAAAUAUGAAUAUCAAAGUUCAUAUUUCCCUUUCUGCAAGUAAUGUUUACCUUUGUUUAUGUGAAAAAUUGGAAAUCAAAAUGAGUUAAGAUUAGCUAUUUUUCCAUAGUAAUGUGUCUGAUUUUCAUUGUCAAUGACAGAGAAAGAAAGCGAAGUUCAAAAUAUGUUCAUUAUUUCAUUAAAAUCAACUACUCAGUCCCCUUCUCUUCUUAUUUUUCUUACCUAAAGCAAUUUGACCCUCUUGUUCAUAAUCCAGAUCUGUUUAACCUUCAGCUCAUGUAUCUCCCAUAUCCUUGACUGCUCUAACCUUCACUUCCAAACCAGAUCAAAAAAUCUUAGUUCAGAUUUUUCAUUUAUUUUAAGUUUAUAUGAAACAACAAUGUGACUUAACUUCAAAUAAAUGUCAGUAUCAUCUUAGACUGAAUUAAGAGAAGUAUAGGCCGAGUGUGGUGGCUCAUGCCUGUAAUCCCAGCACUUUGGCAGGCCAAGGCAGAUGGAUUGUUUGAGCCAAGGAAUUUGAGACCAGCCUGUGCAACAUGGCAAAACCCUGUCUUUACAAAAUAUACAAAAAUUAGCUGGGUGCAGUGGUGUGUGCCUGUAGUCCUAGCUACAGGAGGCUGAGGUGAAAGGAUUGCCUGUGCCUGGGAGGUUAGGGCUACAGUGAGCCAUGAUGGGGCCACUGAAAUUUAGCCUGGACAACAGAGGGAAUCCCAAGAAAGAAGAAAAAGAAGACGACGAAGACAAAAAUGAAGAGGAGGAGGAGGAGAGGAAGAAGGGAAAGAAGAAGAGGAAGAAGGAGAGUAGUCAAAAGAGAAAGGUGCUGCCUACUUCACUUUUUUUUUUUUUUUUUUUGAGACAGAGUCUCAACUGUCACCCAGGCUGGAGUGCAGGGGCGCAAUCUUGGCUCACGGCAACCUCCACCUCCCAAGUUCAAGCAAUUCUCCUGCCUCAGCCUCUCAAGUAGCUGGGACUGCAGGCGCCUGCCACCACACCCGGCUAAUUUUUGUAUUUUUUUAGUAGAGACCGAGUUUCACCAUGUUGCCCAGGGUGAUCUCAAACUCCUAAGCUCAGGCAAUCCAUCCUCCUUGGCCUCCCAAAGUGCUGGGAUUACAGGCAUGAGCCACCGCGCCUGGCCCCACUUUACUUUUACAAAAAAAAAGCCACAAAUCUAAAAUACUACAUAUUUAUGCCUCUUAAAAAUUUUAGGCAUUCAGUAUAAGUUGCCUAUUUCUUCUACUCCUGAGUUCAGAAGCAGUUGAAAAAUAAAACACAGAUCAAUAGACAGACAAGAGUUUAAACUGUCAGCUUUAUUAUUGAUAAACCAAUUGGAGAAAAUGACAUUAGAUCUGUGAACCAAAGAGCCUAUUAAUACUCUGUGACUGCCAACUCUCUCCUGUAUCCAAAUACACAUCCAAAGCCUCCCUCUGCACCCAAAGGAAAGUUUGGAGCUGUCUCUAGGGAGGAAAAUGGGAAGUUUACAGUCCUUUGAUAGAGUUGUUCUACCCCGUUAGCACCCCAUCACCACCUAGCAAUUAGGUAAUUAAUUUCUCUGCUGGAAGGAGUGUGUGAGGAGUGAGACUACAGGCCAAGAGUUGUAUUUCAAUGGAGGUCCUUCAACACAAAAACAUGAGACCAGGGAAAGGACUUUCCCUCCCAACAGUGCUCAAUUCUUUUUUUUUUUUUUUUUUUUUUUUUUUUGAGACGGAGUCUUGCUCUGUCACCCAGGUUGGAGUGCAGUGGCACGGUCCCUGCUCACUGCAACCUCCACCUCCUGGGUUCACGCCAUUCUCCUGCCUCAGCCUCCCGAGUAGCUGGGACUACAAGCGCCCGCCACCAUGCCCGGCUAAUUUUUUGUAUUUUUAGUAGAGACGGGUUUCACUGUAUUAGUCAGGAUGGUCUCAAUCUCCUGAUCUUGUGAUCCGCCCGCCUCAGCCUCCCAAAGUGCUGGGAUUACAGGCGUGAGCCACCGCACCCGGCCAACAGUGCUCAAUUCUAUGUCCCCUAUGCCAUCAGAUAAAAUUGGAGCAUGUUAACAGCAUGACCAGGACAGGGAGCUUUGAAGCCCUCUAUCAAGAAAAAUGGGUGCAAGGACAAGACUACGUGGACCUAACAACUUCCUUCCAACAAUCGAAUAGGUAGUCCAUUUGGUCUAUAUGGCCCUGUAGUGGAGACAUAUAACCUGUGUCCUCCCCUACAUUUCCUGCAUUCUGUUCAGUUAGGCAAAGCCGCCUGACUAGUCCUGGACAACAAAAUGUGAGCAGAAGUGACAUGUGUCACCUCCAGGCUAAGCCAAUGAAGGUCCACUCCUUAGUUCCAGUCUCUCCUCCCCUCCCUCUGCAGUAAGUGGGGAGGUCCCACAUUCCAGAUGGUACAGCUAUGCAAGUCAGGACCUCCACCAACCUAGGUCCCGAGUGAACAGAGAGAAGUUUAAGAGAGCAAAGUUAAGGCCAUGGAGAACAAUAAGAAAAGAAAGCUAUUGGCUGGGCGCGGUGGCUCACGCCUGUAAUCCCAGCACUUUGGGAGGCCGAGGCGGGCAGCUCACAAGGUCAGGAGAUCGAGACCAUCCUGGCUAACACGGUGAAAACCCAUCUCUACUAAAAAUACAAAAAAAUUAGCCGGGCGUGGUGGUGGGGACCUGUAAUCCCAGCUACUCGGGAGGCUGAGGCAGGAGAAUGGCAUGAACCCAGGAGGCAGAGCUUGCAAUGAGCUGAGAUCACGCCACUGCACUCCAGCCUGGGCGACACAGUGAGACUCCGUCUCAAAAAAAAAAAGAAAAGAAAGAAAGCUCUUGCCAAAGUGUAGAAUGAAUUCUGAAACCAGAAACAUUUUCCACCCCCAAAAUAGGAGGCCCAUAAAGUAUUUGCUCGGCAAGAUUUCUGAGUUGCUGCAGGCCUGAAUGCUGGGCCCCUCUCAUUCCUCACCACUGUGGAAGUGUUUCCUCACAUUGUCUUGAUCCUGUUCUACCACUGCACACUGCGGGUGAGGGAUGCAUUUUACCUGUCUUCUUAGUUUACUUGUCCCUGAAACAGGACUGGCCAUGUACAGACCUGACAUAGAGACUAUUGUGAGAUCACUCAGAGAUCCUGAAAUUGAAGCUCAAAGCCAUGAUUUGAUGUGGCUGUAAAUCGUCUCCCUUGCAAAGUGAGUCCUACUUUUGGAAACAGGAGAGCAAAGUUGUGUUGGCACCAGAGAGAGGACUACGGCAGUGACAAUGCUUACCAAACAUUGUGGUUAGGCAAGGCCAUGUAACUAGCUCUGACCUGUGGGCUGUGGGCAGUAGUGGCCCCAGUUAUCUUCUUCUGCGACCAACACAGGAGACUGAGGAAACCUUGUGCUGAGAUGGCAGAACCGCACGUGGAAACAUUCUACAUAAUUGUGUCACAGCAUGCAGCGCAAAGUUCCUGGAGAGUUACGUAGACCUACAGACUUUGCAUGAAAAAUCAAUUACUAUUAAGUUAGAACGCUAAGAUUUGGAGUUGCUUCUUACGGCAGCAUACUCCAGUCUAUCCUAUCUUAUCUAAACCUCAAGAAGCAAAAUUUUGAAGCUCUUCAGAGCUCAGUUUCAAUCUCAUUUUUCUUCUCACUGUGGGCUUCUCUUAGGCAAUUGUACAUCUGUCCUUCUUCAAUCUCCAUCAAGCCAUGUGUUUCCUACCCCAAUGCCUUUGCAUCUGCUAUUCUGUCCCAAAGUCCACUUCUCCUCACCUACCUGGGUACACUUCUAGACUACCUUUCCCAGACUCCCUUGCAGUUACUGUGGCCAAAGAAUGUACAAUUCCAGGCAGUGUGAUGUGAACAGAAGUAAUGUACACCACUCCCAGGCCUGCCCAUAAGAACACCCUCUACAUUCUCCCCCUUGCUCUUUCCCCUUUCCUAUUGGCUGCAAUGGAGACGACCACCAAUGCGGCAGUGUUGGACGUGUGCAGAAGAUGGCAGAUCUUCUGUCAGAAUGGAUCCCAGAACGUGGUCCCAGACUGUGUGAAGAAAAGUCACCCCAUCUUUCUGUCUUUUUCCAGUAUAGGUACCUGAGCAAAAAAUACACUUCCAUUGUGUUUAACCCAGGAUAUAUGUGGGGGCCUACUAUUAUAACAGCACGAUUUUAACCAAAACUUACACUUGCAGCAUUGAUCAACCAUACCACCACCACCAUGCACACACACACACACACACCCCUGCACUCUGCACUGCUCACACCCACUCAAUAUUCUAGGUCUGUGCAUUAAGAUGCAUCCCUGACUCUUCUCAUCCAGUCUAAUUUAAGUUGCUCUGUCAUUCUUUCUCUUUCCCUACUCUUUCUUGUCAUUUUACUUAUCACAAUGCAUAAUUACAUAUUAACCAGUGUGUUACUGAUUUAGAGUUUGUGUCCAAACAUUAAUUUUUGUGUUAUUUAUAUAAAGGUUGUGCCCAAAAUCAGAACCUUUUGCCUGCCACAAUAACAUACAUAGAGGCUAUGCAGUGCUUAGCACACAGUAGUUGCUUAACAAAUUUUAAAAUGUACAGGAUGAAUAUAUGAGAAGCCGCCAUUAAGAGGAUACAUGUUUUCAUCAUAAGACCACAAUGCCAGACCAAAAAUCUUAGAGAACUGAAAUACAUGCACUGGGGAUUUUUUUUUAACCUUUAUUCAUUCAGAAUGCAAUUCUGGGCCACUCUACAACCAAGAGAAAACCCUAA
RNAcentral lists this long non-coding RNA (4987 nucleotides) under Homo sapiens (human). Its description in RNAcentral is "HSALNT0080406". Lineage: Eukaryota; Metazoa; Chordata; Mammalia; Primates; Hominidae. The record is from RNAcentral.